This 253-nucleotide ribosomal RNA is filed under the name uncultured prokaryote. RNAcentral describes it as "partial 16S ribosomal RNA". It matches the Rfam family "Bacterial small subunit ribosomal RNA", at positions 525 to 777 of the family's 1533-position model. The record is from RNAcentral.
ACGUAGGGGGCGAGCGUUGUCCGGAUUUAUUGGGCGUAAAGGGCGUGUAGGCGGUCUGCUAAGUCAGAGGUGAAAAUCCAGGGCUCAACCCUGGAACUGCCUCUGAAACUGGUGGACUUGAGUGCUCUAGAGGGCAGUGGAAUUCCCGGUGUAGCAGUGAAAUGCGUAGAGAUCGGAAAGAACACCAAUGGCGAAAGCACUCUGCUGGGCCGACACUGACACUGAGAGACGAAAGCUAGGGGAGCGAAUGGGA